RNA transcript from Eufriesea mexicana, 2808 nucleotides. It is a transcript of the gene named zinc finger protein 39, with no coding region annotated. The transcript has 3 exons. The record is from RefSeq and is a predicted model, not a curated record. NCBI's taxonomy places the organism in Eukaryota, Metazoa, Arthropoda, Insecta, Hymenoptera, Apidae.
ACGAGUGCAUAUAGGUGACGGUCGCGAAAUAUAGUAGCAGCCAUCUUAUAUUUUGUGUCGGAGAAAAACAAUUUGGCCGUACAAAUGUUUCGUGAUUGUCCGUGAAGCCGCUCGAGAACGGGAGGCGUGCGCUCGAUGAGGCGUGACGUUUUUCGACCCUAGCCCGGACCACUACAUUAGCAAAGAGGUUCCCUGUCAUGCAGGUGGAUUGGUACGCAGGAUAUGAGCAGCUUGUCAAGCGCAACCUGACUCUGCUCCCCCAUCAAGAAGCAGUGCAGCAGCAGGAGCCACAGUCACAACAGCUGGCUCAGCAGCAACAGACUGAUAUAAUGACGUCCAUGUUUGAACAACAAAUCAAAAGCGAACCCAUAGGGUUUUAUUCUGUUGCUUCAAGUCGUUCGGAUGGUUCAAAUUCUAUGGUGAAUUUAUCCGAUGAUCGUGAAGACCUGUCACAACAAGAAGGUCAUUUACAACCCCAGCAACAGACAACACUACAACUAAACCAACAGGGUCAACAGCAAACUCAACAACAGAGUCAGCAACAAACGCAACAGGGUCAACAACAGCAGAGUCAGAGUGUGCAACAAGAAGUUCCAAGCCGUCAGUCGACGGGACAACAAACAGUUAAAGAAGGUUCGCGGUCAAAGCCACAACCCUGUAAGGUAUGCGGCAAGGUGCUAUCUUCUGCUUCAUCGUACUAUGUACAUAUGAAACUUCAUUCGGGCAACAAACCAUAUCAUUGUACAGUAUGCGAAGCAAGUUUUUGCCGGAAACCAUACUUGGAAGUGCACAUGAGGACGCACACAGGAGAAAGACCUUUCCAAUGUGAGCUGUGCUUGAAAAGGUUUACUCAAAAGAGCAGUCUUAAUACUCAUAAACGUGUGCACACAGGAGAAAGACCAUAUGCCUGUGACAUUUGUCAGAAACGUUUUGCAGUGAAAAGCUACGUGACAGCACACCGUUGGAGCCAUGUUGCUGAAAAGCCUUUAGUGUGUGACAGAUGUUCUCUCACAUUCACGUCCAAGAGUCAAUUCGCAAUACACAUCCGUACCCAUACUGCAAGUACUACGUACGAGUGUAACAUAUGCGGACGUACAUUUGUACGUGACAGUUAUCUCAUACGGCAUCAAAACCGAGUGCACCGUGAUAUGAAUCAAAGCAGUACCAAUCACAAUCCACCUACACCCCAAAGUACCGGUGGUGGCACACCAGGUACAGGGUUCGAGAGUCCAGUUUGUGAUUUACGCUACAGCGAAGGACCUUCGUCGUUGGACGGCUUAGCAGGUUCUAAAGGAGGCAUCGCAGCUGAAAUUGCAAGUUUAGCCAAGCAAAAUAAUCUUCAACUUCCUCUACCACUGCUACAUCCGCAGACUACCAACUAGUGUUUAGAUGACAGCGUGUCCGAGUCCCUACCGCAACAUCAAUCACCGCAGCAAGUAAAUCCACCGUCUCCUUUCAUGUCGGUCGGUUCGGUGCGGACUUCCGGCAGAGGCUCGAAGCAGUUCCUGGUCCGACUUUGAACCCUUUGGGUGCUUUAUCGUGCCGGCUGAUCGGCCCUACACAUUUGUGAUACUCGGUUCCGCACAGCCCUGGCUCGGACGUUUAAUACUCUCGCUCGUCUCCUGGUACGAGCAGCGCGUGAUGUAAUUAAAUCGACUUUCGUGGGUCGUUGGUGGGGGUAGGGUGAGGGGUGAGGAUUGGAUUAAUCAGCGAAGACCAGCGGGAAGGUGGGAGGGUUGGUCCGGUUGAUAAGAACCACGUGAAUCGAGGGUGGUAUACGAAUUUAAUAAGAGCGAAAUCAAUCUCGAUUUAUUAUCGAGACUGGUCUACCUUUUAGAAUAGGAGUGGGGAGUCGUUAAGGCGGUGGGGAGUGGGGGUAUGAUGUAUGGGCAGACUGAGUGGGGAAAGGAACGGGAGUGGGGGGUGAAGCGCGAGUGGCGGGCGAGGAUGAUGAGCUGAGAAAGAAACGGUAAGAGUAAAAAUGAUGAAACGAUGCUCGCGUCGCUCGACAUUGCGCCUGUACCAUUUUGCUUCUUUAGCAGAGUACAAUGCCAUUUAUUUUUGUAAUACGUUUACGUAGGAUAGCUAUUAUUUUUAUAGAGGUUUACCGUGCUACCAGUAAGUCUUAUAGAGGCCUGCGAAAUAAAAUAGUGUAGGAUUUUUCAUAGGAGCCGCGGAUUCCAUGAUAUAAGAUAUAAGGUUACCUGGGAUUCGAUGUGUAACGAUGUUUAAAAGGAGACACGCACUUCUAGUACUGGCUUUUGUUUUCGGUUAUCGUACACGUUCACGCGUUUUUCUUCUGUGAGAUCCAUAUAGCGGGAACACCCAGAGCAAUGCUUCUUUAGGGGCGAUGCGGUCCACCAAAAUAAACAAGCAAUUCGUAUCUUAAGGUCACGUGACACCGUUAAACCUCGUUUAGGCUGAACCUUGCCAGUUUGCCGCAGUUCUAGAAAAAGGAAGGGAACACAGACAGCAAUAAAGGAAGUGGAUAGAUGAUAAAAUGUUUCUAUACGAGAGUAGGCGAUCGUGGCCGUCUUGACGAUAAUUUCUGGCAUCUCGAAUUUUCAUUUUCGCAUCCAAUUGGAUGAUCGAUUAUCGUGGAGGCGGUGCAACGUAGACGAUAAUAACACGCAAUACUUCUUCCGCUGAUUGCUGCUUUUCGUGAGGUUAACUCCGGAUGAACUUCCAGGCAGGUCUCUCGAUGCGUGUCCUACGGUAAUAUUAAGUUUUAAAGUUGAAAGAGAACUGUGUAUAUUUUAUGAAAAAAGAUAUAGUAAGGUCAUACAUAUCUACAAAUAGAUUUAUAUA